CCUGCUAGUCGAGCGGAAACGAUCCUAGCUUGCUAGGAGGCGUCGAGCGGCGGACGGGUGAGUAAUGCAUAGGAAUCUGCCCGGUAGUGGGGGAUAACCUGGGGAAACCCAGGCUAAUACCGCAUACGUCCUACGGGAGAAAGCAGGGGAUCUUCGGACCUUGCGCUAUCGGAUGAGCCUAUGUCGGAUUAGCUAGUUGGUGAGGUAAUGGCUCACCAAGGCUGCGAUCCGUAGCUGGUCUGAGAGGAUGAUCAGCCACAUCGGGACUGAGACACGGCCCGAACUCCUACGGGAGGCAGCAGUGGGGAAUAUUGGACAAUGGGCGAAAGCCUGAUCCAGCCAUGCCGCGUGUGUGAAGAAGGCCUUCGGGUUGUAAAGCACUUUCAGUGAGGAAGAAGGCCUUGAGGUUAAUACCCUCGAGGAAGGACAUCACUCACAGAAGAAGCACCGGCUAACUCCGUGCCAGCAGCCGCGGUAAUACGGAGGGUGCGAGCGUUAAUCGGAAUUACUGGGCGUAAAGCGCGCGUAGGCGGCUUGAUAAGCCGGUUGUGAAAGCCCCGGGCUCAACCUGGGAACGGCAUCCGGAACUGUCAGGCUAGAGUGCAGGAGAGGAAGGUAGAAUUCCCGGUGUAGCGGUGAAAUGCGUAGAGAUCGGGAGGAAUACCAGUGGCGAAGGCGGCCUUCUGGACUGACACUGACGCUGAGGUGCGAAAGCGUGGGUAGCAAACAGGAUUAGAUACCCUGGUAGUCCACGCCGUAAACGAUGUCGACUAGCCGUUGGGCUCCUUGAGAGCUUUGUG
Molecule: ribosomal RNA, 800 nt
Filed under: Halomonas sp. JSM 073095
Lineage: Bacteria; Pseudomonadati; Pseudomonadota; Gammaproteobacteria; Oceanospirillales; Halomonadaceae
Description: bacterial SSU rRNA
Rfam family: Bacterial small subunit ribosomal RNA
Source: RNAcentral